GUGCAACCUGCCUUUAUCUGGGAGAUAGCCUUUCGAAAGGAAGAUUAAUACCCCAUAAUAUAUUGAUUGGCAUCAAUUAAUAUUGAAAGCUCCGGCGGAUAAAGAUGGGCACGCGCAAGAUUAGAUAGUUGGUAGGGUAACGGCCUACCAAGUCAGUGAUCUUUAGGGGGCCUGAGAGGGUGAUCCCCCACACUGGUACUGAGACACGGACCAGACUCCUACGGGAGGCAGCAGUGAGGAAUAUUGGACAAUGGGUGCAAGCCUGAUCCAGCCAUCCCGCGUGAAGGACGACGGCCCUAUGGGUUGUAAACUUCUUUUGUAUAGGGAUAAACCUUUCCACGUGUGGAAAGCUGAAGGUACUAUACGAAUAAGCACCGGCUAACUCCGUGCCAGCAGCCGCGGUAAUACGGAGGGUGCAAGCGUUAUCCGGAUUUAUUGGGUUUAAAGGGUCCGUAGGCGGAUCUGUAAGUCAGUGGUGAAAUCUCACAGCUUAACUGUGAAACUGCCAUUGAUACUGCAGGUCUUGAGUAAAGUAGAAGUGGCUGGAAUAAGUAGUGUAGCGGUGAAAUGCAUAGAUAUUACUUAGAACACCAAUUGCGAAGGCAGGUCACUAUGUUUUAACUGACGCUGAUGGACGAAAGCGUGGGGAGCGAACAGGAUUAGAUACCCUGGUAGUCCACGCCGUAAACGAUGCUAACUCGUUUUUGGGUCUUCGGAUUCAGAGACUAAGCGAAAGUGAUAAGUUAGCCACCUGGGGAGUACGUUCGCAAGAAUGAAACUCAAAGGAAUUGACGGGGGCCCGCACAAGCGGUGGAUUAUGUGGUUUAAUUCGAUGAUACGCGAGGAACCUUACCAAGGCUUAAAUGGGAAUUGAUCGGUUUAGAAAUAGACCUUCCUUCGGGCAAUUUUCAAGGUGCUGCAUGGUUGUCGUCAGCUCGUGCCGUGAGGUGUUAGGUUAAGUCCUGCAACGAGCGCAACCCCUGUCACUAGUUGCCAUCAUUCAGUUGGGGACUCUAGUGAGACUGCCUACGCAAGUAGAGAGGAAGGUGGGGAUGACGUCAAAUCAUCACGGCCCUUACGCCUUGGGCCACACACGUAAUACAAUGGCCGGUACAGAGGGCAGCUACACAGCGAUGUGAUGCAAAUCUCGAAAGCCGGUCUCAGUUCGGAUUGGAGUCUGCAACUCGACUCUAUGAAGCUGGAAUCGCUAGUAAUCG
RNAcentral lists this ribosomal RNA (1217 nucleotides) under Chryseobacterium sp. RNAcentral describes it as "bacterial SSU rRNA". It matches the Rfam family "Bacterial small subunit ribosomal RNA", at positions 119 to 1344 of the family's 1533-position model. Lineage: Bacteria; Pseudomonadati; Bacteroidota; Flavobacteriia; Flavobacteriales; Weeksellaceae. The record is from RNAcentral.